Molecule: long non-coding RNA, 1129 nt
Organism: Gadus morhua (Atlantic cod)
Lineage: Eukaryota; Metazoa; Chordata; Actinopteri; Gadiformes; Gadidae
Exons: 3
Source: RefSeq, a predicted model, not a curated record
CCCUUGAUAAAAAACACCAUGUUUAGUUGCAAAAUAGGUCACAGACACUGGAUUAUCUGCUUAUGGCGUUUCAUGCGAUCAAACACAACUUUGAGGACAAAAACAACAAAGGGUUGUCUCUCGGUAUUGAAGUCCAUCAGACACCCUCAGAACUCAUCAGGAAACCUGGGGACAGUGCAUACAUAUCUGCAUGCACUGGGAAACCGACUACAAAGUGAUGCUGUGAUACCAGCAGUCUGAUGGAAAGAGACCUCUGAUCGGACAUGUGAAUUACAAAACCUCCAACGUAGAAAGUGUGUUUAUAGAGGACUUUACACUGUCGGGGGAUCCCAGUGGGGAGACAGUCAUGAACAGCUCUCUUCUGGUUCGCCUGUAUUACUGUACUGCUAGAUUAGCACAUCAUCCCACACCCACCACUAUUCUUCACAAACACAACAGUGUGUGGUUCUUAUCAGCGGCGGUUUGGAAUGAAAAGCUCAACUAAGUGGUCCCCCGGCCACCUGCGUUUGAGGUCGAGGACGAUCUUUUAUUCGUCGUUGUUUUCGACCAAUCAUGUGCUGUAUUUCUUUCCAGUGCAAUUUUGCUGCUCAUCAAAACUCUCUCAACCCAUGAUGGGUCGGUCCUCAGCUGCAAACCAUUCAAAAAGAUCAUAAAACACUAUAAGGAAAGCUAAUACAAACAUACCAAGCACUUGGAAGUGUUCUUAAGCUGUUUUGUGUUUGAGUCUACACCAAUUGUCACCACCAUCAGUACUGUACGGUUAGAAGAGUUGUUGGCAUCACCUCCUCUCUUCUAACAACUUACAUAAAAUGGCUCCUCCCACCUGGGGGUUCCGGUAUGGUUGUGAGAUGGAAAUAGGAGCCACUUCAAUCAGAAUGAUGCAUAGGUUAUGUACUCAAUAUGGGUGUGUUUAAAGGACGACCAUUACAAGCUAGCUAGCGUUGACUUAUCACAUCCAGACAUGUUGACAAUCACCUUCCUCGCGCUACUGAUAACAUUAAACGAUGUCUCAGGUGCAUCUCUUAGCGACCAGGUUCACCAGACUCCACCUGAGAUCGUUGUGGCCAUCGAGUCAGGACCAACGGUCACGCUGGAAUGCUCUCACAGCAUUAAGAACUACGACCAAAUC